This 24-nucleotide ribosomal RNA is filed under the name uncultured Sebacina. RNAcentral describes it as "partial 28S ribosomal RNA". Lineage: Eukaryota; Fungi; Basidiomycota; Agaricomycetes; Sebacinales; Sebacinaceae. The record is from RNAcentral.
CUGACCUCAAAUCGAGAGACCCCA